GUUUUCGUGGGGUUAGAGCCGGAAUUGUUUGGGGACGAUGCUUAGGCCGGAGUUCCAGAAACUUUCUCUUUCGCUCUUUCAUUUUUUUUUCCUCUUGUAGACGAGUACUCUUUUUCCUUUUUACGAUUUUUCUCUUUGGGUUUUCCGUAAAAAGGUUUUAAUGAGGCUCGGCCCUUAGUCUGCUUUUCUUGUGCUUUCAAGGGUUUUUUUUUUGUUUUUCUUUUAUUUUUUAUAUAAAAUCACAGUUUAAUAAUUAUUAUAUAGUAAUUAAAUACCUUCAUUCACAAUCAUAAAACUAAAUUAUUUUUGAAAUUCUAUUUUUCAUAUAAUCC
Molecule: long non-coding RNA, 332 nt
Filed under: Salvia miltiorrhiza (redroot sage)
Lineage: Eukaryota; Viridiplantae; Streptophyta; Magnoliopsida; Lamiales; Lamiaceae
Description: long non-coding RNA (SMIL_LNC010703)
Source: RNAcentral